Molecule: long non-coding RNA, 952 nt
Filed under: Homo sapiens (human)
Lineage: Eukaryota; Metazoa; Chordata; Mammalia; Primates; Hominidae
Description: HSALNT0332878
Source: RNAcentral
CCCCAGGAACCGCGAGGUUGCGAGCAGGAGCGGAGAGAGGGUGAGUGCUGGCAGCGGGGAAGGGGGUGGCGGCCGCAGAGGCCGAGGAGGCUCCGGUCCGGCCGCCUCUGCGGACCCCCGCCUCUGUGUGUGUCACGGUCUCUAUGGAGAUCUCCCGCAGAGGACAGCACGAACAGUUCCCCGCGGUGCUGAGGCCUAACUCGACCGCCGACUGGUGGGAGUUCUUCCGUCGCCCUAGCCGUAGCUGCCGCAGUUGAAGCCGCUGGCGACGCCCGCCUACCCCUCCCCUGUGCGCACAGCGCCCGCCCCGCCGCCGUCGUCGUCGUCGUCCCUGCAGCCUCCGCCGCCGUUGCGCCUAUUACCCCUGCUAAGGCGGCUGCCGCGGUCGCGAGCCAGAAUGUCGUCACUCAUCGGCGCCCGACGCAUUUGCAUCAUCAUGCUGCGACGAGCUGAUAGGCAAAGAGGAAGGGCUGGUCGAGUCCACGCUCUCGGCCGCGCGGCACGCUGGGAAACGUAGUUCAACAACGGAACGCGGCUUCUCGGAAAGGAAGAGGGACGGGGAAGGAGAUCUCCGGGGCGCCGCAGAGGCACAAAGCCAAGGGGUUUUGUUGCAGACACACGGGGCUGGAAUUCUGGUUCUGCCACCCAACCUAUUUGACCUUGGAUGAAUCAAAACCGUCUGAGCCUUAGCUUCCUCCUCCAUAAAAUGGGAGCUUUAAAAUCCACCUUAUAAAGCUGUUGUGAGGAGCAGACGUGAUCAUCUAUGGAGAGCAUGUAUAUUUGCUAAUAGACGAAAAAUGCGAUGAAUGAUUACAAUUAUAACCCAUGCAGUCAGCUAACAUUAGGGGCACUCCUUGCCAUUUCCUGUUGCUACCAUACUUUAUUAUUUUAAAGUGUAUUCCUGGUCAGGCAUGUGGCUCACACCCAUAAUCUCAGCACUUUGGGAAGCCAA